AGGUUUAGACGCGUAGAUGGAAGCAAUAGAAAGAAGGAGAAACAAAGGAGGAAGACGAAGAAGAAAUGAUAAAUAGAGGCGGAAUAGGAGAAGGAGCCAAGCUGUAAUAAUUAUGUGACGACAGCGAGAGUGAGCUGGACGUGGCGGAGGCUAUGGGCGAUGAGUUCACGGCGCAGGUCAGCCUCACCAUGCACCACGCUGACUGUCCGCAGCUAUUCAUCAAGGUCGGAGAGGCCUGUAUCUUCCAUGUUCUUCCCCGGAAAUUUGUAUCCUGUGCUGGAUUUUGCCAACCUGUCUCAUCAUUAAUUUGGAGUGGUGCCUUGUAUCGCAUAUGUGGCUCACGGGGACAGCCACGCACUUGUAUGUAGACAGUAGAUGACGUUGACUGCUGUUGUUGAUUCGUGAUAUCAUGGAUUUUUUAGUAGUUACAGUCGUAUUGUUCAU
Long non-coding RNA from Portunus trituberculatus (swimming crab), 444 nucleotides. RefSeq lists it as uncharacterized. The transcript has 3 exons. The record is from RefSeq and is a predicted model, not a curated record. NCBI's taxonomy places the organism in Eukaryota, Metazoa, Arthropoda, Malacostraca, Decapoda, Portunidae.